This 304-nucleotide ribosomal RNA is filed under the name uncultured bacterium. RNAcentral describes it as "partial 16S ribosomal RNA". It matches the Rfam family "Bacterial small subunit ribosomal RNA", at positions 506 to 809 of the family's 1533-position model. The record is from RNAcentral.
CAGCAGCAGCCGCGGGAAUACGUAGGUGGCAAGCGUUGUCCGGAAUUAUUGGGCGUAAAGCGCGCGCAGGCGGAUAGGUCAGUCUGUCUUAAAAGUUCGGGGCUUAACCCCGUGAUGGGAUGGAAACUGCCAAUCUAGAGUAUCGGAGAGGAAAGUGGAAUUCCUAGUGUAGCGGUGAAAUGCGUAGAUAUUAGGAAGAACACCAGUGGCGAAGGCGACUUUCUGGACGAAAACUGACGCUGAGGCGCGAAAGCCAGGGGAGCGAACGGGAUUAGAUACCCCCGUAGUCCCUGUCUCUUAUACA